AGGGCGUUAGCUCAAUUGGUAGAGUAGCGGUCUCCAAAACCGUUGGUUGAAGGUUCAAGUCCUUCACGCCCUGCCA
This 76-nucleotide transfer RNA is filed under the name Pseudomonadota bacterium. RNAcentral's name for it is "Proteobacteria bacterium (freshwater metagenome) tRNA-Trp". It matches the Rfam family "tRNA". From Rfam's summary of the family: Transfer RNA (tRNA) molecules are approximately 80 nucleotides in length. Their secondary structure includes four short double-helical elements and three loops (D, anti-codon, and T loops). Lineage: Bacteria; Pseudomonadati; Pseudomonadota. The record is from RNAcentral. RNAcentral also lists the same sequence under 4 other names.